UGCACUCCAAGCUAAAACCUUGAGUGCCAUAUAUUCAAUUUGAACAAUACCAUAUAUAUUGCUCUAGUCAUCUUCAAAAGCAAUUGAAUAGCAAUAGAACCCUAAGACCAUUUGCAUGACAUUUCAUUUCAGUUCCUUCCCAUGCUUUCUGUAUUACAUAGCCUGGUAACAUAUAAUCAAAAUUUGGCAUGCCGCAUGGAAAAAUGCAUGCUGAGGAGAUUGACUGAUGCAACACUAACUAUUGGAUUUGAGGAGAUUGACUGAUGCAACACUAACUAUUGGAUUGUACAUACCCUAGUUUACAGGGGCAAUAGCCAUUUUUCUUUCAGGGAAACGUAAGAAUUUUCAUUUUUCAGACAACCACAAUAUUUGACAGCAUCUGAUUGAUCCAUAUGAUAACAACGUCCACAACAUAUUUAUAACCAUCUUACAACAGGAAAUUAAAAACACACAUGAAUGGCUAACCACAACAGUUGUUCUUCUGCUGGAUUGGCUGCCCCUUCAUUUGAACAGUUGUUCCUGUUGACUUGCUUGCAGCUGGCUGGCUACCCAUUUUUUUCUUAAUUUCUCCAGCCAUGGUUAAGAAAGCCUGCUCCACAUUAAUUGAAUCUUUAGCACUUGUCUCUAGGAAAGGAAUUCCUAGCUCAUCUGCAAAUGCCUGCAUUUCACAGAUAUUCAAUUCAUCCUCAAGGCAUAAGUUAUCAAGAUCACAAUAAUUUAGAAUCAAUUAAUUAACCUCAAAGGUCACUACUUCAUUGAAAGUUGAAACCAACAAAAAAAAACUUGAUUCAAAUACAUCCAAAGACCUUUUUUAUUCUUCACACAUCAAAAUACACAAGCACAAAAUACCCUUUUGAUAUGGAUAUGCGAUGCCAAAAUACACCCUUUAAGUGAAAAUUUCCCACUAUUUCAAGAAAUGUGGUUCAAUGCAUUUUUACCUGUGUUACUAAGAUUCACCAUAGGGAACAGCUUUUCAUUGCUGUAAACAUUGAGCCGAUUCCACAUGUGAAGGACUAAGUAAUGGUAAUAUAUUCCAACAACUCCAGCAACCAUUUUUGUAUUUAAUUAUCUACUAGCAAAUAGGAGCAUGAAUUACUAGCUAAGUUUAGUAUGUAGAUCAACAUAGAUUUUCCCAUUGUUGAGCACAGCUGGUCAAAAGAAACUGUAAACAAAAGAAUGCAUAAGGCAACAAAUGUAACCAACUAUACCUUUGCAGUUUGUGUGUCCACAACCUUGUUAUCAACUAGAUCACAUUUAUUUCCAACUAAAAGCUUGCACACACUAUCAUUUGCAUAUCUAUCAAUCUCAUUUAACCACUGCUUGACAUUGUUGAAGCUCUCCAUCUCAGUAACAUCAUAGACUAUCUGUGACAAUUGCCAUACAAAUUACAAAUCUCAGGCCCUUGAAAUUUACUUAAUAUAGGAUGUUUGGAAUUGAAAAAACAUCAAUAAAAAGCAGUACAAACGUAACGUUCAGAAAUUAAACCAUAAGAUUGACAAUUAUAAUCAAUAUACUCCUUAUUAUCAACAUAAAACACUGAGAAAAAGGGUACAGGAAAGAGCAAUAUAGAGCAUGAAGCUGGAACCCAACAAUGCAGUUACAAAAAGAAAAAAAAAGCUACAGCAUAAUCAUAUGCUGCUAAUAAAAAAUACAAGCAUAAGCAGUAAGAAACCCAAGUUCAUUUGAAG
Molecule: unclassified non-coding RNA, 1688 nt
Filed under: Hevea brasiliensis (rubber tree)
Lineage: Eukaryota; Viridiplantae; Streptophyta; Magnoliopsida; Malpighiales; Euphorbiaceae
Source: RNAcentral